GAUGAACGCUGGCGGCGUGCCUAAUACAUGCAAGUCGAGCGGACGGACGCGGAGCUUGCUUCUUUGUUGUUAGCGGCGGACGGGUGAGUAACACGUGGAUCACCUACCUAUAAUACUGGUAUAACUUCGGGACACCGGAGCUAAUCCCGGAUAAUCUUUUGCACCGUAUUGUUCAAAAGUGAAAGACGGUCUUGCUGUCACUUAUAGCUGGAUCUGCGCUGCAUUAGCUAGUUGGUAAGGUAACGGCUUUCCACGGCUACGAUGCCUAGCCGACCUGAUAGAGUGGUCGGCCACACGGGAACGGAGACACGGUCCUGACGCCUACGAGAGGCAGCAGUAGCGAAUCGGCCGCAGUGGGCGAAAGCCUUACGGAGCAACGCCGCGUGAGUGAUGAAGGUCUUCGGAUCGUAAAACUCUGUUAUGAGGGAAGAACAGAUGUGGAAGUAACUGUACACAGCGUGACGGUACCUAAUCAGAAAGCCACGGCUAACUACGUG
RNAcentral lists this ribosomal RNA (497 nucleotides) under uncultured bacterium. RNAcentral's name for it is "partial 16S ribosomal RNA". It matches the Rfam family "Bacterial small subunit ribosomal RNA", at positions 28 to 507 of the family's 1533-position model. The record is from RNAcentral.